CAGUAGCCACGGUAAUACAGAGGGUGCAAGCGUUAAUCGGAAUUACUGGGCGUAAAGCGCGCGUAGGUGGUUUGUUAAGUCGAAUGUGAAAUCCCCGGGCUCAACCUGGGAACUGCAUCCGAAACUGGCAAGCUAGAGUAUGGUAGAGGGUAGUGGAAUUUCCUGUGUAGCGGUGAAAUGCGUAGAUAUAGGAAGGAACACCAGUGGCGAAGGCGACUACCUGGACUGAUACUGACACUGAGGUGCGAAAGCGUGGGGAGCAAACAGGAUUAGAUACCCCAGUAGUCCCUGUCUCUUAUAC
Molecule: ribosomal RNA, 301 nt
Filed under: uncultured bacterium
Lineage: Bacteria
Description: partial 16S ribosomal RNA
Rfam family: Bacterial small subunit ribosomal RNA
Source: RNAcentral